RNAcentral lists this ribosomal RNA (841 nucleotides) under Triticum aestivum (bread wheat). Its description in RNAcentral is "partial small subunit ribosomal RNA". The record is from RNAcentral. Lineage: Eukaryota; Viridiplantae; Streptophyta; Magnoliopsida; Poales; Poaceae.
CUCCACGGAUUGAGCCACAGUUCGCGUCCGCAAUCGGGCCGUUUGUUUGAAGGCCCAAUUCUGUUUCGCUUGGAGGUUCAGACCAGGUCGCCUCUAUCGCCGAGCAGGUCUUCCAGUUAUUCUCCGUUGCGGCGCUGACCCUAUGCCCCGAGCUGUUCCUGUUGGAAAAAGAAACUGCUCUUCGUCAAGGCUGCGCAGCCGCCGUUCUCCGCCCCGGCGGUGAGCUUUUGCGGCUGGUCUGCUUCGAUAUAGAUUUCCUGUUUGGAGCUAGGCCAUUGGAGAUACUAUGAGAGAAGGAAGAGGAUCUUGUGUAGGGAACUGCGGCGUCCGGCGGCAGAUGGCUGAUCUCUCGCGACCAGUCUCUCCACGGACUGGCUUCUCCCUUCACAAUGAUGCAUCAAGCUUCCGUGGCUAUGGACGACCAGAGUGCAUGGAGGUAGCCGGGGUCAGGUCGUGGAUUCUGUGCAGGCGCAUCACUCAGUAGCGGUGAGACGCUGAUGGCUCGCGACGGGGAGGAAAUUUUCACAUCAGUCAAAGUCACCUGGGAUACCACCAAUUGAACCGGCCAUGGGCCUCCGUAUGUGGUCAUCUUGCAACAAUAGAAUGUGACAGCUGUAUGAAAAUAUUGUGAUUUUUAGGAUCACACAUAUUCAUCUUUGAGAUAAUUUCUUGUGUUCCUCAGCCUGUGAGUAGCUAAUUGUUUGUCUUCUCUCGUGAUGUAAAUGAUUUCUUAGAGAUUUUGUUGCUCAAUAAAUUUGUACAACAUCGCAGGUAAAUAGCUGAACAUUUAACUUGUCUUGAAGAAAUGAUACACAGUAUUCUCCAUCUGCGUGGCUGCGCC